Molecule: unclassified non-coding RNA, 202 nt
Filed under: uncultured Thelephoraceae
Lineage: Eukaryota; Fungi; Basidiomycota; Agaricomycetes; Thelephorales; Thelephoraceae
Description: sequence contains ITS1
Source: RNAcentral
CCGAACAGUCGACACGAGUUGUUGCUGGCCCUCAAGAAUAUGGGGGCACGUGCACGCUCUGUCUUCACAUCCACUCACACCUGUGCACCCUCUGUAGUUCUGUGGCUGGGGGGCUCCGUCCUCUCUCCGUAGUUCUACGUCUUUACACACACGCUGUAAUAAAGUCUCAUGGAAUGUAUGCCGCGUUUAACGCAAUACAAUA